Molecule: microRNA precursor, 198 nt
Filed under: Selaginella moellendorffii
Lineage: Eukaryota; Viridiplantae; Streptophyta; Lycopodiopsida; Selaginellales; Selaginellaceae
Source: RNAcentral
GCCCAUGAACAAGAGUGCACCCCCUUUCCAAUCGGUUAAAGGUCUUAGGAUAGUUGGAGUUUAAGCGUCCUUGGGUUUGAAUAGUACUGGGCUGGGUGACCUCCCGGGAAGUCCAAAUUCAGGAGCUUACAUUAACCCCAAGUAUUCCAAAACGCUUAAUCGAUUGGAAAAAGGAGGUGCAUUCUUGUUCAUAGGCCC